RNAcentral lists this ribosomal RNA (117 nucleotides) under Lepisosteus oculatus (spotted gar). Lineage: Eukaryota; Metazoa; Chordata; Actinopteri; Semionotiformes; Lepisosteidae. The record is from RNAcentral.
GCCAGUGGCUAUAUCACCCUGCAACUCACAACUGUCACAACUGAAGCUAAGCAGGUUGUGAGCCUGGCAAGUACCUGGAUAGGAGACCUCUGAGGAAAGCUAAGGUUGCUACUGGAA